GGGGAGAGGAGUCAUCAUCCAGGUAAAGUGACGUGGAUCAGUGGAUACACUUGUCUCCCCUUUAAAGGAGACGAUCCAAGUCAUCCUUAAAUAUGGGCAGCAUAUCAGUCUUGGACUGUCUAACCUGCAGCACUGAAUGACCACCACACAUGAGCAUGUUCCUGCAACAUUCAGCAUCUGAUCCUUCAUCUGUGUGCUUCUGCUUUUGUGUCACAUGUCAAACAGCUGGAGAGGAAACUACACCA
This is a long non-coding RNA of Maylandia zebra (zebra mbuna), 245 nucleotides long. RefSeq lists it as uncharacterized. NCBI's taxonomy places the organism in Eukaryota, Metazoa, Chordata, Actinopteri, Cichliformes, Cichlidae. The record is from RefSeq and is a predicted model, not a curated record.